AUAGCCUACGGGAGGCAGCAGUGGGGAAUAUUGCACAAUGGGGGGAACCCUGAUGCAGCGACGCCGCGUGGGUGAAGGAGUAUUUCGGUAUGUAAAGCCCUAUCAGCAGGGAAGAAAAUGACGGUACCUGAAGAAGAAGCCCCGGCUAACUACGUGCCAGCAGCCGCGGUAAUACGUAGGGGGCAAGCGUUAUCCGGAUUUACUGGGUGUAAAGGGGGCGCAGACGGCGAUGCAAGCCAGGAGUGAAAGCCCGGGGCCCAACCCCGGGACUGCUCUUGGAACUGCGUGGCUAGAGUGCAGGAGGG
This 305-nucleotide ribosomal RNA is filed under the name uncultured bacterium. RNAcentral's name for it is "bacterial SSU rRNA". It matches the Rfam family "Bacterial small subunit ribosomal RNA", at positions 334 to 656 of the family's 1533-position model. The record is from RNAcentral.